This 847-nucleotide long non-coding RNA is filed under the name Pan troglodytes (chimpanzee). Its description in RNAcentral is "long non-coding RNA NONPTRT012796". The record is from RNAcentral. Lineage: Eukaryota; Metazoa; Chordata; Mammalia; Primates; Hominidae.
CCUUGGCCUCCCAAAGUGCUGGGAUUACAGGCAUGAGCCACCGCACCCAGCUACCAUUUGAAGAUGAACACUGACAUUUGUGACAUUUAAAUAACAGUUCAGGUCUGCUAUUAAACCAAGGCCUCCAACUGUUUAACCUUUGCCCUUGUGUACUAUUACCCUUGGCCCAGUGCAUGCAAAUGUACUUAUUAAUGCAUUUGAGCUUUCUGAUGCCACAUGUUUAUUUAGUUUUGCUGAAUACCUUGCUUCAUGGGAACUGCACUGCACCAAACACGAAAUUUGUUUUAAAACUUUUAAAUGUGACACAUUCCAAGCCUCUCUCAGAGACUAUUUUUAUACAGCUUAAGUUAAAUAAAAAGUUGAGGCAAUUAUCCAAAAUCUUCCCGUGGGUGGAGGAGUGUGUAUUUCUUGAACUAAAAUUAUUUAGAGAAAUCCAAAGCCAUUCAUUCAUUCAACAAAAGUUUGUAAGGGCUUUUUAUGUAUCACAUACUAUGCUAGAUCAGAAAUAAGGAAAACGUACUCCCUGCCCUUAAAAUAUUGUAGCUGUGUGAUUCUAUGGCCCUACUAACGUAGGCAUGUACCUUAUCUCAGAUGGAGGAGCUGGUCAGGGAACAGCAACUAUGCAUAAGAAACGUGAAACCUUCCAGUCGUGACCUAUUUCAGAACAGAACUGCAGGCUUGAGAGCGGACAGUGCUGGGUUGGUUCCAAGUCUUUGCUAUUGUGAAUAGUGCCGCAAUACACAUAUGUGUGCAUGUGUCUUUAUAGCAGCAUGAUUUAUAAUCCUUUGGGUAUAGUCAGGUGUGAAAUUUUCUACUUGAGGUGGACCUCAUGGAUCUCACUUUGCUU